RNAcentral lists this long non-coding RNA (1521 nucleotides) under Bos indicus x Bos taurus (hybrid cattle). Its description in RNAcentral is "lncRNA (ENSBIXG00000006250.1)". Lineage: Eukaryota; Metazoa; Chordata; Mammalia; Artiodactyla; Bovidae. The record is from RNAcentral.
ACCUCCGCGCCGGGACGCGCUAGGUACCUGGAAAGGGUGAGGCGGGCGAGGGGCACGGCACGCCCCACGGGCCAACGCCCCGACGUCGACCCCCAACCGCCGCGUCCCCCCACCGGGACCGCGGCCGCACGCGGGCCUCGGCGCCGCCGGCCCGUGACCGCAGGGGGUGCCCCGCCGCGCGCCGGCCGACCGCCGGCCCCGGAGGGCCCCGCCGACGCCAGACGACCACCCCCCCGCCGUCCCCCCCCCGAGACGCGGGGCAGAGCCCGCCCCCGCCCCUCCAACCCUCACACACCCGGUGCGGCCGGCCCCGCCGGACCCCGUCCUCUCGCCCCAGCCCAUCCGCUGGGGGGACCCCUACCCGAACCCGCGUUCCCGGGCACCCUCCCCCCCCCCACACACCACCACCGAGGGCGGAGGGAAGGGGCUCCGACGGGGAGCUGGGCGCCAAGCGGGCAGGGGACACGCGUCAGAGGUACGGGAGAGGCGAAAACAGGGCGGGAGAACCGGACAGACGGCCGCGGGAGGCGUGGGGGGUGGGGGACGGGGCGGGAGAAAGCCCCGAGGCUCGGAAGGCGUGGGGAGGCGAGGCGCCUGGCGACCGGCGCGGCAGGCCCAGAGCGGCAGACGGACGGCCGGCCGGCGACCGGCCGAGGCAGACCGGCCCAGGGCCGGCGACGGGAGGCGGCGGGGCAAGGCAAGCGGCCCCGCGACGGGGAGCCGCCGCCCGCCACGCCGCACAGCCCGCCAGACGCGACCGGAGGAUCCGCGCCGCGCGGAUCCGCGGCCUUUGUGGGGGGAGGCAGUCGUGGCCGGCGCCACGGGGCGAAAGGCGCGUGGGGUGGGGUGGGGGCGUGGGGAGCUUGCGGAGCCAACCCCCUCACCACCCCACCCCCGAACCCUCGGGGCCAACCUCGAGGGACGUGGCGGGGAGGGCCGGGCUAUCGGGAAGAGGGGACGCACGCCGGAGGGCGACGCCACCGGGCGACGGGGCAGGGUGGCGGGGCGCCCCCGGCCGGGUGGGGGGGGAACGGAGGCGCGGAGGGGCCGGCGGCGGGAGGAGGGGCGCGGGCGGGCAAGCAGGCGGAGGAGAACCCGCCUCUUCCCACCCGAUAUCCCCACAACUCUGCCACGCCGCCCCCCCACCUCUCUCGCGCGGCUCCUCGCCCCCCAGACACACCGGGGAGUAGCCCCCGACCGGCCCCCGGCCGCCCGUGGGGGGCGGGGCGCCCUCCGGACGCGUCUCGCUCUCCCCCUCUCCCCUCCUCCCGGUCCCAUCCCGCGCCGCACGGGCGGAGGAGAGGCUCGCGAGCCGGGCGCGGGGCGGGGCGAGGCCCCCGCGCCGCUCUCGGAACCGACCGCGUUAAUGAUCCUUCCGCAGGUUCACCUACGGAAACCUUGUUACGACUUUUACUUCCUCUAGAUAGUCAAGUUCGACCGUCUUCUCAGCGCUCCGCCAGGGCCGUGGGCCGACCCCGGCGGGGCCGAUCCGAGGGCCUCACUAAACCAUCCAAUCGGUAG